Molecule: ribosomal RNA, 466 nt
Filed under: uncultured bacterium
Lineage: Bacteria
Description: partial 16S ribosomal RNA
Rfam family: Bacterial small subunit ribosomal RNA
Source: RNAcentral
GAUGAACGCUGGCGGCGUGCUUAACACAUGCAAGUCGAACGGAAAGGCCCAAGCUUGCUUGGGUGCUCGAGUGGCGAACGGGUGAGUAACACGUGGGUGAUCUGCCCUGCACUUUGGGAUAAGCCUGGGAAACUGGGUCUAAUACCGGAUAGGACCAUCGUUUAGUGUCGGUGGUGGAAAGUUUUUCGGUGUGGGAUGAGCUCGCGGCCUAUCAGCUUGUUGGUGGGGUAAUGGCCUACCAAGGCGUCGACGGGUAGCCGGCCUGAGAGGGUGUACGGCCACAUUGGGACUGAGAUACGGCCCAGACUCCUACGGGAGGCAGCAGUGGGGAAUAUUGCACAAUGGGCGCAAGCCUGAUGCAGCGACGCCGCGUGGGGGAUGGCGGCCUUCGGGUUGUAAACUCCUUUCGCCAAGGACGAAGCGUUUUGUGACGGUACUUGGAGAAGAAGCACCGGCUAACUACGUG